GACAGGUGGUGCGAUGGUUGUCGUCAGCUCGUGUCGUGAGAUGUGGGUUAAGUCCCGCAACGAGCGCACCUUAUCCUUAGUAGCCAGCAGUUCGGCUGGGGCACUCUGGGGAGACUGCCAGGGAUAACCUGGAGGAAGGUGGGGAUGACGUCAAAUCAUCAUGCCCCUUAUGAUUUGGGCUACACACGUGCUACAAUGGCGUAAACAAAGGGAAGCGAAGGAGUGAUCCGGAGCAAAUCUCAAAAAUAACGUCUCAGUUCGGAUUGUAGUCUGCAACUCGACUACAUGAAGCUGGAAUCGCUAGUAAUCGCGGAUCAGAAUGCCGCGGUGAAUACGUUCCCGGGUCUU
Molecule: ribosomal RNA, 348 nt
Filed under: uncultured Lachnospiraceae bacterium
Lineage: Bacteria; Bacillati; Bacillota; Clostridia; Lachnospirales; Lachnospiraceae
Description: bacterial SSU rRNA
Rfam family: Bacterial small subunit ribosomal RNA
Source: RNAcentral